GUUUAAUUAAAAAUGCGCGCGGAAUUGUUUCAAAUGACGCCAUCUGACAUGCUCUUUUUGCAUUUACAAAAAGCAAGUUAGUUGACCUGUGAUGUCAAUAAAUAGUUGUAUACAUCAAUUGGCGUGUCAUACUUGCGACAACAAGAGUUCGAAUUUUAUUAGGACGAAAUGGAUUAGGAGCAGUGUUUGUAACAUCCUCGUUUAAAUGCUGGAGCAGGUUACGUGCGUCGGUGUAACGAACGGUUAAACGUCCUCUUGAUUUCCGUGUCGUCAGAUGAAAUAUGCGGACGACGUGUUGCGGCAAUUUGUUAUUUAUCGCUGUAGUAAACAAACAAGUAUUCUACGGUACUCUUCGAACGAGCUUCAGCGCAUGGAAUUCUCGAUCGUUACGCUACAUUUGUGUGAAACUCUUAAUUAAAUGUUAUACCGAUUAUUUUCAAGAAAUUAACUUGGACGGCGGCUGGUGAAAUUAAUCAAAUUGAAAAUUGACUUGAUUUAUUGGAGGUCGAGGAGAGGAUUAUUAAUUAGCAUCACCACGUGCAAUUAAACUUCCAUUAAUAAAAUACCAUGGGAAUUGGC
Long non-coding RNA from Bombus pyrosoma, 579 nucleotides. RefSeq lists it as uncharacterized. The record is from RefSeq and is a predicted model, not a curated record. NCBI's taxonomy places the organism in Eukaryota, Metazoa, Arthropoda, Insecta, Hymenoptera, Apidae. The transcript is spliced from 4 exons.